UAUGGCCACACUGCGUUUAAACACCGGUUUUCAUGUGAUCACUGAAGUUAAGCAACGGUGAGUCUGGUCCGUACUUUGAUAGAUGGCCGCUUGGAUAUACGAAGUGCUGUAAG
This is a non-coding RNA of Acanthosepion pharaonis, 113 nucleotides long. Lineage: Eukaryota; Metazoa; Mollusca; Cephalopoda; Sepiida; Sepiidae. The record is from the annotation of a GenBank genome assembly.